GCGUCUGCAGGUGGUUUCUUAAGUCUACUGUUAAAUCUUGAGGCUCAACCUCAAAUCUGCAGUAGAAACUAGGAGACUUGAGUAUAGUAGGGGUAGAGGGAAUUUCCAGUGGAGCGGUGAAAUGCGUAGAUAUUGGAAAGAACACCGAUGGCGAAGGCACUCUACUGGGCUAUUACUGACACUCAGAGACGAAAGCUAGGGGAGCAAAUGGGAUUAGAUACCCCAGUAGUCCUAGCCGUAAACGAUGGAUACUCGAUGUUGGACGUAUCGACCCGUUCAGUAUCUUAGCUAACGCGUUAAGUAUCCCGCCUGGGGAGUACGCUCGCAAGAGUGAAACUCAAAGGAAUGGACGGGGGCCCGCACAAGCGGUGGAGGAUGUGGUUUAAUUCGAUGCAACGCGAAGAACCUUACCAGGGUUUGCUAGAAGUGUUGGUUUUCUGAAAAGAAUUCCUUAUUCCGCUUCUACAGGUGGUGCAUGGCUGUCGUCAGCUCGUGUCGUGAGAUGUUGGGUUAAGUCCCGCAACGAGCGCAACCCUUAUAUUUAGUUCUAUUGUCUAGAAAGACUGCCGGUGACAAACCGGAGGAAGGUGAGGACGACGUCAAGUCAUCAUGCCCCUUACACCCUGGGCUACACACGUCCUACAAUGGGUAAGACAAUAAGUUGCAAAUUCGCGAGAAUAAGCUAAUCUUUGAAACUUACUCCAAGUACAGAUUGCAGGCUGCAACUCGCCUGCAUGAAGGUGGAAUCGCUAGUA
Molecule: ribosomal RNA, 755 nt
Filed under: uncultured bacterium
Lineage: Bacteria
Description: bacterial SSU rRNA
Rfam family: Bacterial small subunit ribosomal RNA
Source: RNAcentral